GAGUUUGAUCGUGGCUCAGAUUGAACGCUGGCGGCAGGCUUAACACAUGCAAGUCGAGCGGAGAUGAGGUGCUUGCACCUUAUCUCAGCGGCGGACGGGUGAGUAAUGCUUAGGAAUCUGCCUAUUAGUGGGGGACAACAUUCCGAAAGGAAUGCUAAUACCGCAUACGUCCUACGGGAGAAAGCAGGGGAUCUUCGGACCUUGCGCUAAUAGAUGAGCCUAAGUCGGAUUAGCUAGUUGGUGGGUAAAGGCCUACCAAGGCGACGAUCUGUAGCGGGUCUGAGAGGAUGAUCCGCCACACUGGGACUGAGACACGGCCCAGACUCCUACGGGAGGCAGCAGUGGGGAAUAUUGGACAAUGGGGGGAACCCUGAUCCAGCCAUGCCGCGUGUGUGAAGAAGGCCUUAUGGUUGUAAAGCACUUUAAGCGAGGAGGAGGCUACUGAGACUAAUACUCUUGGAUAGUGGACGUUACUCGCAGAAUAAGCACCGGCUAACUCUGUGCC
RNAcentral lists this ribosomal RNA (505 nucleotides) under uncultured microorganism. RNAcentral describes it as "bacterial SSU rRNA". It matches the Rfam family "Bacterial small subunit ribosomal RNA", at positions 9 to 509 of the family's 1533-position model. The record is from RNAcentral.